GGGUUAGUAAAGGUUUCGACAGGGGCCUUGCAGCUGGAGAAGCUAUCCGCAGGCGAUGCGUCAAAUCGCAAAAAUAAAUAUAAACGCUGAAGAUAAUUUAGCAUACGCUGCCUAAUGGCAGCUGUCCGGCUUAGUGCACCUACACAUUAAGAUUCGGGCAUCGACUAUGUAGGAAACGACACAGGCUAAGCUUUGCACCUGUGGGCGUAGAAUGAAGCUACUAAAUGAACAGGGGUGUCAGUUUCCAGGUUCAGGAGGGAAUGAGGGGAUUCCCGAAUAACUGACUAUGAUAGUAGAAGGACAGGGAAUGGGUCUUUGGACGCGGGUUCGACUCCCGCCUAAUCCAUAU
RNAcentral lists this transfer-messenger RNA (349 nucleotides) under Lachnospiraceae bacterium. It matches the Rfam family "transfer-messenger RNA". Rfam says of the family: Bacterial tmRNA, also known as 10Sa RNA or SsrA, is named for its dual tRNA and mRNA-like properties. Its role is to liberate the mRNA from a stalled ribosome. To accomplish this part of the tmRNA is used as a reading frame that ends in a translation stop signal. The record is from RNAcentral. Lineage: Bacteria; Bacillati; Bacillota; Clostridia; Lachnospirales; Lachnospiraceae.